AGGACGAACGCUGGCGGCGUGCUUAACACAUGCAAGUCACGGGGGCUCAGCAAUGAGCAACCGGCGAACGGUGCGUAACACGUGAGCAGCCUGCCUUUGUGUGGGGAUAGCCGGGCUAACGCCCGGGUAAUACCGCAUACGGUCGCUGGGAGG
This 153-nucleotide ribosomal RNA is filed under the name uncultured soil bacterium. RNAcentral describes it as "partial 16S ribosomal RNA". It matches the Rfam family "Bacterial small subunit ribosomal RNA", at positions 26 to 189 of the family's 1533-position model. The record is from RNAcentral.